Molecule: ribosomal RNA, 433 nt
Filed under: uncultured bacterium
Lineage: Bacteria
Description: partial 16S ribosomal RNA
Rfam family: Bacterial small subunit ribosomal RNA
Source: RNAcentral
AACGAACGCUGGCGGCAUGCCUAACACAUGCAAGUCGAACGAGACCUUCGGGUCUAGUGGCGCACGGGUGCGUAACGCGGGGGAACCUGCCCUUAGGUUCGGAAUAACUCCCCGAAAGGGGUGCUAAUACCGGAUAAUGUCUUCGGACCAAAGAUUUAUGGCUUUGGGAUGGGCCCGCGUUGGAUUAGCUGGUUGGUAGGGUAAAAGCCUACCAAGGCGACGUUGCAUGGCUGGUCUGUGAGGAGGACCAGCCACACUGGGGAUGAGCCACGGCCCAGACUCCUACGGGAGGCAGCAGUGGGGAAUAUUGGAGAAGGGGCGAAAGCCUGAUCCAGCAAUGCCGCGUGAGUGAUGCAGGCGUUAGGGUUGUAAAGCUCUUUUACCUGGGAUGAUAAUGACAGUACCGGGAGAAUAAGCACCGGCUAACUCCGUG